GAUAUUGCGCAAUGGGGGAAACCCUGACGCAGCAACGCCGCGUGAAGGAAGAAGGUCUUCGGAUUGUAAACUUUUGUCUUUGGGGAAGAAAAAAAUGACGGUACCCAAGGAGGAAGCCACGGCUAACUACGUGCCCGCAGCCGCGGUAAUACGUAGGUGGCAAGCGUUGUCCGGAUUUACUGGGUGUAAGGGGAGUGUAGACGGGACUUAAAGUCAGAUGUGAAAUACCGCGGCUCAACCGCGGGGCUGCAUUUGAAACUUAAGUUCUUGAGUGCAGGAGAGGAAAGCGAAAUUCCUAGUGUAGCGGUGAAAUGCGUAGAUAUUAGGAGGAACACCAGUGGCGAAGGCGACUUUCUGGACUGUAACUGACGCUGAGGUACGAAAGCGUGGGUAGCGAAC
This 399-nucleotide ribosomal RNA is filed under the name uncultured bacterium. Its description in RNAcentral is "partial 16S ribosomal RNA". It matches the Rfam family "Bacterial small subunit ribosomal RNA", at positions 359 to 773 of the family's 1533-position model. The record is from RNAcentral.